GAUGAACGCUAGCUACAGGCUUAACACAUGCAAGCCGAGGGACCGGCGCACGGGUGAGUAACACGUAUCCAACCUGCCCUUUACUCGGGGAUAGCCUUCUGAAAGAAAGAUUAAUACUCGAUAUUACGGAUGGGGAUGCGUUCCAUUAGGUUGUUGGUGAGGUACCGGCUCACCAAGCCUUCGAUGGAUAGGGGUUCUGAAAGGAAGGUCCCCCACAUUGGAACUGAGACCCGGUCCAAACUCCGACGAGAGGCAGAAGUGAGAAAUAUUGGUGAAUGGGCGCUAGCCUGAGCCAGCCAAGUAGCGAGAAGGAUGAAAGUUUAUGGGUCGUAAACUUCUUUUGUAUAAGAAUGUGUAUUAUAUGAAUGAGGAUCGGCUGACUCCGUGCCAGCAGCCGCGGUAAUUC
Molecule: ribosomal RNA, 406 nt
Filed under: uncultured bacterium
Lineage: Bacteria
Description: partial 16S ribosomal RNA
Rfam family: Bacterial small subunit ribosomal RNA
Source: RNAcentral